ACAUGUCAAGUGAUGUGGCAAUCCAUGCCAAAUAAAUGAGCCAAUGAAAUCAUAUCAUGUUUCAAGUGACGUGGCAAUCCAAGGCAAAUAAAUGAGCCAAUGGAAUCAUGCCAUAUGUCAGGUGAUGCGACAAUCCAAGCCAAAUAAAUGAGCCAAUUAAAUCAUGACAAAUGUCUGGAUGAUAUUGGUCAAUUCAAACGAACCAAUCAAAUCACCGAGCCAUACCACUCCCUGCAACUAAAAAUAGAGGUCUUCAUAAAGCUAGAAAACACCAAAAGUGAUAACAAGAAGCAAGCAGAGAUCUCGUGGAUCAAACACCGCAGAUUUCUCUACAAGCUACAAGUUCAAGCACUCAAGCUACAAGUUCAAGUUUAAGUUCAAGAACGAAGCCAAUCAAAUACCAAGGCUUUCAAGAUCAAAUUACUUAUUCGUGAUCAAAUCAAAAUUCAAGUUCAAGGAGGAGAUUCGAGAUAGCGUUACAAGCCCUUGAAUCAAAUCAAAGUCAAGCUCAUUAAGAUACUUUACAUUCUUGAAUAAUCAGACGAAUACCAUAGAGAUUGUGACACUUUCAUUUAUUGAAAUCAAAUACU
RNAcentral lists this long non-coding RNA (590 nucleotides) under Nicotiana benthamiana. RNAcentral's name for it is "long non-coding RNA (NBEN_LNC018626)". The record is from RNAcentral. Lineage: Eukaryota; Viridiplantae; Streptophyta; Magnoliopsida; Solanales; Solanaceae.